AUUUUUAUAGUUGAAAAACAACCAUAGCUUUUCACGCUGUAAGUCUGGGUUAAAUUCCCAGUAAAAAUU
Molecule: transfer RNA, 69 nt
Filed under: Ophidiaster granifer
Lineage: Eukaryota; Metazoa; Echinodermata; Asteroidea; Valvatida; Ophidiasteridae
Description: tRNA-Glu
Rfam family: tRNA
About the family: Transfer RNA (tRNA) molecules are approximately 80 nucleotides in length.
Source: RNAcentral